AGUGGAUGGGGAACAACCUAGUUGUGCGUGUGUAAAGGUAGUGCCAAGAAAAGCGGUGAUCAUGAUGAAAAUCAAUUCCCGGUACCCGAAACCGACACAGGUGGGCAAGUAGAGAAUACUAAGGGGCGCGAGGUAACUCUCUCCAAGGAACUCGGCAAAAUGACCCCGUAACUUAGGGAGAAGGGGUGCCACCGAGAGGUGGUCGCAGUGAAGAGGCCCAGGCGACUGUUUAGCAAAAACAUAGGUCUCUGCAAACUCGAAAGAGGAGGUAUAGGGGCUGACGCCUGCCCAGUGCCGGAAGGUUAAAGAAGUUGGUCAGUCUUAGGAUGAAGCUAGCGACUGAAGCCCCGGUGAACGGCGGCCGUAACUAUAACGGUCCUAAGGUAGCGAAAUUCCUUGUCGGGUAAGUUCCGACCCGCACGAAAGGCGUAACGAUCUGGGCGCUGUCUCGGAGAGAUACUCAGUGAAAUUGAAAUCGCUGUUAAGAUGCAGCGUACCCGCGGCUAGACGGAAAGACCCUAUGAAGCUUUACUAUAGCUUGGAAUUGUGUCCGGGCUUCCUGUGCGCAGGAUAGGUGGGAGGCGUAGAAGGUAUUCUUGUGGGGAUACUGGAGCCAACGGUGAGAUACCACUCUCAGGAGGCUAGAAUUCUAACUUAAUUAAGGACAGUUUCAGGUGGGUAGUUUGACUGGGGCGGUCGCCUCCAAAAAGGUAACGGAGGCGUACAAAGGUUCCCUCAGACUGGUUGGAAAUCAGUCGCAGAGUGCAAAGGCAGAAGGGAGCUUGACUGCGAGAAGUACAGUUCGAGCAGGGUGGAAACACGGUCUUAGUGAUCCGACGGUGCUGUGUGGAAGGGCCGUCGCUCAACGGAUAAAAGUUACUCUAGGAUAACAGGCUGAUCUCCCCCAAGAGUUCACAUCGACGGGGAGGUUUGGCACCUCGAUGUCGGCUCAUCGCAACCUGGGGCGGAAGUACGUCCCAAGGGUUGGGCUGUUCGCCCAUUAAAGCGGUACGUGAGCUGGGUUCAGAACGUCGUGAGACAGUUCGGUCCAUAUCCGAUGUAGGCGUGAGAAUAUUGAGAGGAGCCUUCCUUAGUACGAGAGGACCGGGAAGGACGCACCGCUGGUGUACCUGUUAUGAUGCCAAUUGUAAACGCAGGGUAGCCAAGUGCGGAGAGGAUAACCGCUGAAAGCAUCUAAGUGGGAAGCCCACCUCAAGAUGAGUAUUCUGGUGUAAGGUCACGGGAAGACGACCCGUAAAUAGGCACGAGGUGGAAGUGCAGAGAUGUAUGAAGCCGAAGUGUACUAAUAGACCGUCGGCUUGACCU
RNAcentral lists this ribosomal RNA (1326 nucleotides) under metagenome. RNAcentral describes it as "bacterial LSU rRNA". It matches the Rfam family "Bacterial large subunit ribosomal RNA", at positions 1561 to 2925 of the family's 2925-position model. The record is from RNAcentral.